RNAcentral lists this ribosomal RNA (253 nucleotides) under uncultured bacterium. RNAcentral's name for it is "partial 16S ribosomal RNA". It matches the Rfam family "Bacterial small subunit ribosomal RNA", at positions 524 to 776 of the family's 1533-position model. The record is from RNAcentral.
UACAGAGGGUGCGAGCGUUGUCCGGAAUCACUGGGCGUAAAGGGCGUGUAGGCGGCUGGGUAAGCCGCGUGUGAAAUCCCGGGGCUCAACCCCGGAAUGGCACGCGGGACUGCCUGGCUAGAGCAUGGUAGAGGCGAGUGGAAUUCCCGGUGUAGCGGUGGAAUGCGUAGAGAUCAGGAAGAACACCGGUGGCGAAGGCGGCUCGCUGGGCCAUUGUUUACGCUGAGGCGCGAAAGCGUGGGGAGCAAACAGG